GAAAGGAAGGCUAGGACCUGAAGGUUUUAUUUGCUUUCUCUGAUUUUUCAGAACGUAUUCAUGUACAUAAUCCCUGAUUUAAAAGUUGAUUGGUUUGAGCUUAAGCAAAAUGAAAAUAGCUCUUGUUUCCUCUUUGCCAUUCCGAGUCUUUGGUUUCAGUUAUGAGGUUGAUUGAGGUGAUCGUCGAGAUCGUUGACUGCUCGUGAGGUUUAAGUCCGUUUGUUCCGAAUCAUUUUUUAUUGCGGUUUGUUCGUUUGCUUCUGGAUGCACGAAUUUCGGCGUCGGAUUUGCUUGUAAUGGCUUCUGAACAAGGUUAAUCGAAAGUUUAAUUCAGCUAUUGUUCACGUCAAUUUGCUGCUGUUGUUCGUUGAAUGCUUGUUGAGUACGAUCCGAUCCGGUUGUAGUCAUAGUUGAAGAGUCGAGUCUGUGUCGUUGAGGUUUCGGAUUUGAGAUUGAACAUCCGUCGUGUGAACUCGAGAUCUUGUGAAUCAGAAAGUGUAGCUGCUUGAGUUAGAUUUUUGGGCUCGAUUCGAAGUCACUGUCCGAGGUUCAAUCCGGGCAGAUUCGCGCCUGGUUCAACCGUGGCCGCUCGACGUCGAGGUCCGGUGCGUCGAGGUCGUACGACGAGGAAGAAGAUUGAUCUUCAGAUCUGCUCGGCCCAAAAUUGCGAUUUGGAAUGUCAGUCUUAAAUUUAGGAGGACGUUCAUGAAGAAUAUUACACUUAUCUCCAUAAGAGGGGCUCACACAAAUCUUCAAAACUAUGGCUUUGGAUACAUG
Molecule: long non-coding RNA, 777 nt
Filed under: Nicotiana benthamiana
Lineage: Eukaryota; Viridiplantae; Streptophyta; Magnoliopsida; Solanales; Solanaceae
Description: long non-coding RNA (NBEN_LNC004951)
Source: RNAcentral